CCUACGGGAGGCAGCAGUGAGGAAUAUUGGUCAAUGGACGAGAGUCUGAACCAGCCAAGUAGCGUGAAGGAUGACUGCCCUAUGGGUUGUAAACUUCUUUUAUAUGGGAAUAAAACGUUCCACGUGUGGGAUUUUGUAUGUACCAUAUGAAUAAGGAUCGGCUAACUCCGUGCCAGCAGCCGCGGUAAUACGGAGGAUCCGAGCGUUAUCCGGAUUUAUUGGGUUUAAAGGGAGCGUAGGUGGAUUGUUAAGUCAGUUGUGAAAGUUUGCGGCUCAACCGUAAAAUUGCAGUUGAAACUGGCAGUCUUGAGUACAGUAGAGGUGGGCGCAAUUCGUGGUGUAGCGGUGAAAUGCUUAGAUAUCACGAAGAACUCCGAUUGCGAAGGCAGUUCACUGGACUGCAACUGACACUGAGGCUCGAAAGUGUGGGUAUCAAACAGGAUUAGAUACCCCGGUAGUC
RNAcentral lists this ribosomal RNA (460 nucleotides) under uncultured bacterium. RNAcentral's name for it is "partial 16S ribosomal RNA". It matches the Rfam family "Bacterial small subunit ribosomal RNA", at positions 338 to 795 of the family's 1533-position model. The record is from RNAcentral.